This is a long non-coding RNA of Mirounga angustirostris (Northern elephant seal), 12059 nucleotides long. RefSeq lists it as uncharacterized. The transcript has 3 exons. Lineage: Eukaryota; Metazoa; Chordata; Mammalia; Carnivora; Phocidae. The record is from RefSeq and is a predicted model, not a curated record.
CAAAGUGCGACUCGCUCGUUCAAAAAGUUGGUGGGUUCCUGCAACUGCGGGUUCUUUGGGUUAGGCUAAAACUCAGGACUCGUGAACAGUAAAAAUAUUUCUAAGAAAAAGUUAUCUAAGUACAUGGCUUUCACCCCCAUCUACUGUAGCCCGUGUGACACUAUUUGGACCUUUAAUGACGCCGCCAGCCUCUCCUAGCUGGCUGUGACCACCUGGAGCGCAGGAGCUAAAUUUCAGCCUGGCGGCCUCUGGUCCUUAGCACAGCGUCUCGGAUGAAUUAAGUGAUGGAGGAGGAACUGAGAAGCUUCCAGCGUGACGAUAGCAGUACCAUUGGAGCGCCUACUGUGUCCCAGGCACUGAGCCACACUCUACAAGGAUUCAUUUAAUCUUCACACAGCAUAAGAGAGAGAGAAAGAAAGAGCACAAGCAGGGGGAGCAGCAGGCAGAGGAAGAAGCAGGCUCCCCACCAAGCAGGGAGCCCAACGCGGGACUCGGUCCCAGGACCCUGGGAUCAUGACCUGAGCCGAAGGCAGACACCGGCGUCCCUGGAUAUUAACCUUUUAUCGGAUGUGUGGUUUGCAAAAACUUUCUCCCAUUUUGUAGAUUGCCUUUCAUUUUGUUAAAUCUUUUGUUCAAAAGCUUUUAAGUUUGUUGUAAUCCCUUCUGUUUUUACUUUUGUUGUUUGAUGUCAUAUCCAAAAAUCAUUGCCAAAACCAGUCUCAAGGAGCUUCUUCUCUAUAUUUUCUUCUAGGAGUUGGAUAGUAUGAGUCCUUAUGUUCAAGUCUGCAAUCCAUUUCACGUGAAUUUUUGUGAGUGGUGUAAGAUUGGUGUCCAGUUUCAGUGUUCUGCAUGUGUUCAGUUUUCUCAACACCAUUUGUUGAAGAGUCUUUCUUUUCCCCAUUUGGUGCUAUUGGCCCCCUUGUUGAAUAUUAGUUUAAUGUAUAAGCAGAGGUUAACGUUGGGCUCUUUGUUCUGUUCUGUCAAUGUGUCUGUUUUUGUGCUGGUACCAUACUGUUUUUAAUACUAUAGCUUUGUAGUAUAGUUUGAAAUCAGGAAGUGCAAUAUCUGUAGUUUUGUUCUUUUCCUCAGGAUUGCUUUAGCUAUUUGGAGUCCUUUGUGGUUCCAUACAAACAUUGCAGCUUAUUUUCUAUUUCUGUGAAGAAUGCCAUUAAUAUUUGUUGGGGAUUGUGUUGAAUCUAUAGAUUGCUUUGAGUAGUAUACACAUUUUAGCAAUAUUAAUUCUUCCAGUCCAUGAGCAUAGGUUAUCUUUCCAUUUGUUUCUGUCUUUUUCUAUUUUUUUCAUCAGUCUUGUAGUUUUUGUUGUACAGAACUUUCACCUUCAGGGCAGCCUUGGUGGCUCAGUCAGUUGGGCAUCUGCCUUCGGUUCAGGUCAUGAUCUCGGGGUCCUGGGAUCAAGCCCCAUGUCAGGCUCCCUGCUUGGCAGGGAGUCUGCUUGUCCCUCUGCCCCGCUCCCCCUCUCUGCCUGUGCUCUCUCUCUCUCAAAUAAAUAAAUAAAAUCUUUAAAAAAAAAAAAAAACUUUCACCUCCUACAUUAAAUUUAUUCCUAAGUAUUUUAUUGUUUUUGAUGCUACUGUGAAUGGGAAAGCUUUUUUUUUUGUGACCAUUAUUACCUUUUUCUUAGACUUGACAAUCAUUUUAUUGAAACAUAAUUGACAUAAAAUGUUUUAUUAGUUUCAAGUGUACAACAGAUUGAUUCCACAGUUCUGCACAUUACUCAUGGCUCACCAUGAUAAGUGUAGUCACUAUAUGUCACUACACAACAUUAUUACACUAUCAUUGACUAUAUUCUUUAUGCUGUACUUUUCAUCUCUGUGACUUAUUUAUUUUGCAACUGGAAUUUUCCUCCAAUCCCCUUUAUUUUGCCUAUCCCUCCACCUGUCUCCCUUCUAGCAGCCACCAGUUUGUUCUCUGUACUUAAGAAUCUGUUUUGUUUUUUAGAUUCCACAUAUAAGCGAAAUCAUAUGGUAUUUGUCUUUCUCUGUCUAACUUAUUUCACUUAGCAUUAUACCCUCUCAGUCCAUCCAGGUUGUUGCAAAUGGCAAGAUCUCAUUCUUUUUGAUAGCCAAGUAACAUUCCCUGCGCACGCACGUGUGUAUGCCACAUCUUUAUUCAACCACUGAUGGACACUUGGGUUGCUUCCAUAUCUUGGCUAUUGUAAACGAUCCUGCACUGAACAUAGGAGGGAAUAUAUCUUUUCAAAUUAGUGUUCAUUUUUGAGGGGUAGAUACCCAGUGGUGGAAUUACUUGAUCAUAUGGUAUUUCUAGUUUUAAUUUUUUGAGGGACCUCCCUACUGUUUUCCACAGUGGCUGCACCAGUUUGUAUUCCCACCAACAGGGCAUAAGUGUUCUAUUUUCCCCACAUCCUUACCAACACUUGUUAUUUCUUGUCUUUUUGAUACUAGGCAUUCUGACAGGUGUGAGGUGAUAUAUCAUUUUGGUUUUGAUUUGUAUUUCCCUCAUGAUAAGUGAUGGUGAUCAUCUUUUCAUGGGUCUGUUGGCCAUCUGGAUGUCUUUGGAAAAAUAUCUACUCAAGUCCUCUGCUCAUUUUUAAAUCAGAUUAUUUGUAUUUUUUUUGGUGUUGAGCUGUAUGAGUUCUUUACAUAUUUUGGGUAUUAACCCCUUAUUGGGUAUAUCAUUUGCAAAUAUCUUCUCCCAUUCACUGGGUUGCCUUUUUGUUUUGUUGAUAGUUUCUUUUGCUGUGCAAAAGCUUUUUAUUUUAAUGUGGUCCCAGUAGUUUACUUUUGUUUUUGUUUCCCUUGCCUGAGGAGACAGAUCAUAUAUAUGUUUAAGGACACAUUCCAUGAGAUUACUGCCUAUGUUUUCUUUUAGGUUUUUAUGGUUUCAGGUCUCACAUUUAGGUCUUUAAUCCAUUCUGAGUUUAUUUUUGUGUAUGGUGUAAGAAAGUGGUCCAGUUUCAUUCUUUUGCAUAUAGCUGUCCAGUUUUCCCAAUACCAUUUAUUGAAAAACUGUCUUUUCCCCCAUUGUAUAUUCUUGUCUCCUUUGUCAUAGAUUAAGUGACCAGGUAAGUGUGGGUUUAUUUCUGGGCUCCCUGUCAUGUUCCACUGAUCUAUGUGUGUGCUUUGUGCUGGUACCGUAUUGUUCUGAUUACCAUAGCUUUGUAGUAAACCUUAAAAUCUGGAAUUGUGAUACCUCCAGCUUUGUUCUUUCUCAAGAUUGCUUUGGCUAUUUGAGGUCUUUUGUGAUUUCAUACAAAUUUUAGGAUUAAAAAUCUGUGAAAAAUGCUAUUGGUAUUUUGAUAGGGAUUACACUGAAUCUGUAGUUUGCUUUGGGUAGUAUGGACAUUUUAACAACAUUAAUUCUUCUGAUUUAUGAGCAUGAUGUAUCUUCCUAUUUGUGUCAUCAUCAGUUUCUUUCAUCAGUGUUUUAUAGUUUUCAGAGGACAAGUUCUUCACCUCUUUGGUUAAGUUUAUUCCUAAUAAUUUGUUGUUUAAAGCCACUGUUCCCUUACGGAUUUUCUGCCUGGAUGAUCUAGACAUUGAUGUUAAGUGAGGUGUUAAAAUCCCCUACUGUUAUCGUACUACUGUUAAUUUCUCCCCUUAUGUCUAUUAAUAUCUGCUUUUAUGUAUUUAGGUGUUCCCAUGUUGGGUGCAUAGAUAUUUACAAUUGUUAUACCCUCUUGUAGGAUUGGUCCCUUUAUCAUUAUGUAGUGUUCUUCUUUGUCCUUUGCUACAUUGUGUUAAAACCUGUUUUGUCUAGGGGCACCUGGGUGGUGCAGUCAGUUGAGUAUCAGACUUGGUUUUGGCUCAGGUUGUGAUCUCAGGUUCAUGAGUGAGCCCCACAUCGGGCUCUGCAUGGAGUCUGCUUGAGAUUCUCUCUCCCUCUCCCCCCACACAUGUGCAUGCUCACUUGCUCUCUCUCCAAUAAGUAAAUCUUUAAAAAAAAUAAUGAAGUUUGUUUUGUCUAAUGUAAGUAUUCCCACCAUGGCUUUUUUUUCUUUUUGCUUCCAUUUGCAUGGUAUAUGCUUUUCCAUCCCUUCACUUUCAGUCUGUACAUGUUUUUCAGUCUGAAGUGAGCCUCUUGUAAGCAGCAUAUAGAUGGGUCUUGGUUUUUUUAUUUUUUAUUUUUAUUUUUAUUUUAAAAGAUUUUAUUUAUCUAUUUGACAGAGAGAGACACAGCGAGAGAGGGAACACAAGCCGGGGGAGUGGGAGAGGGAGAAGCAGGCUUCCCACGGAGCAGGGAGCCCGAUGCGGGGCUUGAUCCCAGGACCCUGGGAUCAUGACCUGAGCCAAAGGCAGAUGCUUAACCAACUGAGCCACCCAGAUGCCCCCCUUUUUUUAACCCACUGAGUCACCCUAUGUGUUUUGAUUAGAGCAUUCAGUCCAUUUACAUUUAAAAUAAUUGUUGAUAGGUAUGUACCUAUUGCCAUUUUGUUAAAUGUUGUCUGGUUGUUUUGUAGCUUUUCUCUGCUUUUUUCUACUUCCUCUUUUCCCUUGUGAUCUGAUGGUUUUGUUUAGUGUUAUGGUUGGAUUCCUUUCUCUUUUUAUUUUUUGUAUAUCUGUUAUAAGUUUUUUUUUUUUUUUAAGAUUUAUUUACUGAGAGAGAGAGAGCACAAGUGAGAGAGCACAAGCAGGGGAAGCAACAAAGGGAGAGGGAGAAGCGACUGCCCGCUAAGUAGGGAGCCGGACACGGGGCUCGAUCCCAGGACCCUGAGGUCAUGACCUGAGCCGAAGGCAGCCGCUUAACCGACUGAGCCACCCAGGUGCCCCUCUGUUAUAGGUUUUUGAUUUGUGAUUACCACUGGGUUCAUGUAUAACAUCUGAUGUAUAUAGCAGUCUGUGUUUAAGUUGAUGCUCUCUUAAGUUUGAACACAUUCUAAAACCUCUAAAUUUUUACUCCACUCUCCAUGUUUUAUGUAUAUGAUGUCAUAUUUUACAUUCUUUUGUGUAUGCUUUGCUUAAUUUUGUAGAGAUAAUUGAUUUUGCUACUUUUGUGUUUUAACUUUCAUAUUGGCUUUAUAAGUAAUUAACAUACUAUCUUUAUUAUAUUUUUGUUUUUAUCUGUGAAAUUUUUUCCUUUCAUUAUUUUCUUCUAGUUAUGGCCUUUUUUUUUUUUCCCAACUUAAGAAUCCCCUUUAACAUUUCUUACAAGGCCAGUUUAACUAUAACUUUUGUUUGUCUGGGAAACUUUCUCUCUCCAGUGAUAACCUUGCUGGGUAAAGUAUUCUUGGUUUAAGUUUUUUCCCUUUUAGCCCUUUGAAUAUAUCAUGCCACCUUCUUCUGGCCUGCAUAGUUUCUGCUGAAAAAUCAGCUGAUAGCUUUAUGGGGUUUUCCCUUGUAUCUUGUUUUGGUUUGCUGCUUUUAAAAUUGUGUCUUUAUUAUUACUUUUUGCCAUUUUAACUAUUAUGUGUUUUGGUCUGGACCUCCUUGGGUUCACCUUGUUAGGGGCUCUCUUUGCUUCCUGGACUCGGAUGUUUGUUUCCUUCCCCAGAGUGGAGAAAUUUUCAGCUCUUAUUUCUUGAAAUGAUUUUCAGCCCUCUCUCUCCCUCUGGCACUCUAUAAUGUGAAUGCUAUUAUAUUUGAUGAUGUCUUUUCUCAGGUCCAGUGAGCAUCUUUAUGACCAUUACUUGGAAUUUUUUAUCAAGCUUAUUAUCUCUCUUUCAUUUAGCUCUUUUACUGUGAUUUUGUCUUAUUCUUUGAUUUGGGACGUAUUCCUUUGUCUCCUCAUUUGGUCUGUUUUUAUGUAUUCGGUAGAUCAGCUGUAUCUCCUGGUCUUUAAAAUAGUGGCCUUGUGUAGACGAGGUCCUGUGGUGCCCUGUAGUGCAGUGCCCCCGUGGUCAGCAGAACCAGGUGCUCCAGAAGGAUCUCCUUUGUGGGCUUGGGUGCCCUCUCGUGGCUGAGCCGUGACUGCCUCCAGCUGCGCUAGCUGCAGUCUGCCUGCCUUGCCUGCUGUGGCGUCCUGGGCGUUUACUCCCCCGCUGUUGCGAGGCCUCUGCAGCAGAGGGGCUUUCAUUAGUGGACAGAGCCGGCAGUCAGUCCAGCUGUCUGCACUUAGCCUCUCUGCCACAGCUGUGGGCACACUGACGGGCAGGGCUUGCUGCAUGCACAGUCAGCUAAGAGGCUCAGUGCAGGGACUGCAUGCAUGUUGGUGCGUGGGCUUAUUUCCACCACGCCUCAGGACAGGAGUCACUUUGGAGGGAUACUGGGAGGCGGGCAGUUGGAUUGGGUGGAUCCGCAGGAGAACACUGGGGUAGGGGCACGCAAUGCUAGCAAAGUAGAGGGAGAGUUUAGUGCUGGCUCCUGCAAGCAUCCAGCCAUCUAGGCUGGGGAACCAGCACUUUUGUUCCUGGAGAAAUCUCCUGCAGAUCCCUACCUCUCCAAACACAUUCUAAAAUUAGUCAGGAUAUCUCUUUCAGGUAUACCCUAGGUGCUUUUCAGACUGCUGUUUUCAUGCUGUGUCUCCAGCCAAGUUAUUUAGUAAAUUGGCUCUUUAAGGGUGGGGACUCCGUUUCCCUUCACCCACCCUCUGAAUUUUAAAGCUCUUGGGCUGAAGGCCUGUUGGUUUUCAAAGCCGGUUGUUAUGGGGACUCCUCUUCCCCAGUGUGCGUCCCCAGUGCUGGGCGUGCCUGGUGUGAGAUCUCAUCCUCUCGCUUCUUCCUGUCUGUGGCUAGUCACACUGGGGGUCUGGUUCCCAACCCCGUCUCCACCCCCCUGCACUUUCUGAUGUGGCCUUCCCGAUGAUUAGCUGUGGAAGGUCUGUUCUGUCAGUCUUCAGGUCAUUUUUGGAGUUAGUCAUUUAGAUGUAGCUGUUGUCGCAGUGUGUCCAUGGGACAAGGUAAGCUCAGGAUUCUCCUCCGCCGCCAUCUUCCCAAAAUUCCCUCAGCAGAAGUUUAUUUCUUUUUCAGAUGUUUCAUACCUCGUGUAUAGAAAUGCAAUUGAUUUCAGUAUGUUGGUUUUGUAUACUGCAACUUUAUUGAAAUCAUUGGUUAGCUCCGACAGUUUUUUGGUUGAGCCUUGGGAUUUUCAGUGUACAGAAUCCUAUCAUCUAAAAAUAGUGACAGUUUUACUUCGUCCUUCUCAGUUUGGAUGGAUUUUAGUUCUUUGUCUUGCCUAAUCGCUCAGGCAAGGACUUCCAGUACUGUAUGGGAUAAGAGCGCUGAGAGUGGACAUGCUAGUCUUGGUCCUGAUCUUAGAGAAAAAUUUUUUCAUUUUUACCUCCACCGAGUAUGAUGUUAUUUGUGGGUUUGUUGUAUAUGGCCUUUAUUAUGUUCCAUUUUUACCUCCACCGAGUAUGAUGUUAUUUGUGGGUUUGUUGUAUAUGGCCUUUAUUAUGUUCCAUUUAUAUCCCGUCUACCAAGGGUUUUUACUAUUGAAAGUAUGUUGUAUUUUGUCAGAUUGCUUUUUCUGUGUCUAUUAAGAUGAUCAUAUGAUUUUUAUCUUUCAUUGUUUUAAUGUGAUAUAUUACACUUAUUGAUUGGCAUAUAUUGAACCAUCCUUGCAUCCCAGAGAUAAAUCCCAUUUGGUCAUGGUGUAUAAUUUUUUUUUUUUUUUAGAUUUUUUUAAUUUUUAUUUAUUUGAGAGAGAGAGCACAUGAGAGGGGGGAGGGUCAGAGGGAGAAGCAGACUCCCCGCUGAGCAGGGAGCCCAAUGCGGGACUCGAUCCCGGGACUCCAAGAUCAUGAUCAUGGUGUAUAAUUCUUUUUAUGUGUUCUCAAAUUCAGUUUGCUAAUAUUUUGUUGAGAAUAUUUGCAUUUAUAUUCAUCAGGGAUACUGAUCUAGUUUUCUUAUGGUGUCCUUAUCUCUCUUUGGUAUCUGGCCUUAUAGAAUGAGUUUGGAACGAUCCCUACCUCCUCAACUUUUUGCAAGAGUUUGAGAAGGACUGCUGUUAAUUAUUCUUUGAAGGCUUGGUAGAAUUUGCCUGUGAAGCCAUCUGGUCCUGAGGUUUUCUGUGUUGGGAGGGUUUUGAUUACUGAUUCAAUCCCUUUAUUCCUUAUUCAUCCUUUCAGAUACUCUAUUUCUUCCUGACUCAGGCUUGGUGGAUUGUGUGUUUCUAGAAAUUUAUUCAUUUCUUCUAGGUUGUCUAAAUUGUUGAUGUACAAUUGUUCAUAGUAGUCUCUUAUGGUCCUAUGUAUUUCUGUAGUAUCAAUUGUAAUGUGUCCUUUUUCAUUUCUUGAGUCUUUUUUCCUUAGUCUGGUUAAAGAUUUUGUUUACUGUUUCAAAGAACUGGCCUUUAGUUUUGUUGAUCCUUUCCGUUUUUCUGGUCCCUAUUUCUUUAUUUCUACUCUGAUCCUUAUAAUUUCCUUUCUUCUGCUAACUUCUGUUCUUUGGGGGAAAGGUUAUUUGUGAUUUUUCUAAUUCCUUAAUGUAUGCAUUUAUUGCUAUAAACUUUCGUCUCAGAACUGCUUUUAUUGUAUCCUGUAAGAUUUGAUAUGCUGUAUUUCCAUUUUCAUUUGUUUCAAGGUGAUUUUUUAUUUCCCCUUUGAUUUCUUCUUUGACACAUUGGUUGCUCAAAAGUAUGUUGUAUAGUUUCCACAUGUUUGUAAAUUUUCCGGUCUCCCUUUUGUUGAUUCCUAGUUUCAUACCAUUAUGGUAAGAAAAGAUAGUUGAUGUGGUUUCAGUCUUCUUAAAUUUGCUGAGAUUUGUUUUGUGCCCUAUCAUGUCAUCUGUCCUGGAAAAUAUUUCAUGUGCACUGAAGAAGAAUGUGUAUUCUGCCUCUGUUGGAUAGAAUGCUCUCAUAUGUCUGUUCUUUUGUUCUAUAGUUCAGUUUAGUUUCUUUGUUGAUUUUCUACCUGGAUGGCUUAUUUAUUGCUAACAGUGGGGUACUGAAGUCCCCUACUAUUAAUGUAUUGUUGUCUGUUUCUCCCUUUAGAUCUUUUGGUAUUUGCUUAAUAAAUUUUGGUGAUCCAAUGUUGAGUGCAUAUAUAUGUACUAUGGUGUUGUAUCUUCCUGAUGUAUUGACCAUUUUAUCAGUAUAUAAUGACCUUCUUUGUCUCCUUUUGUUUUUAGGCUUGACUUGCACCUGCUUUCAUUUGGUUUCUGCUUGCCUGGAAUAUUCUCUUAAUUCCUUCACUUUGAGCCUGUGUGUAUUUUAAGAGUUGAAAUGAGUUUCCUGUAGGCAGCAUAUGGUUGGGUCUUGUUUUUAUCCAUCAAGCUACUCUGUGCCUUUUGAUUGAUGAAUUCAAUCCAUUUAUAUUGAGUAAUUAUUGAUCUUAAGGACUUAAUACUACUGCCUCUUAUAUUUUGCCUUCUGAUUGUUUCUUUUCCCUAUGUUUCCGUCUGCCUUUAUAACGUGGUGGUUUUCCAUGAUGAUUUGCUCAGUCUCCCUUUUUUUAUGUUUUGUGACUUUUCUCUAGAUUUUUGCUUUGUGAUUACCAUGUGGCUUACAUAAAACAUCUAAGGAGUCCUCUUUUUAUGCUGAUAGCACUUUAUCUUCAUAUAAAGCUUCCACCCUUUUACUCCUCCCCUUUUACAUUUUUUAUGUCAUAGUUUACCUUUUUUUUUUGCUUUGAAUUAUUGAGGAAUUAUAGUGGUGGUGGUUUUUUGUUGUUGCUCUUAAGCCUUUAUACUAUAAUUAAGUGGUUAACACAUCAUUCUAAUAUAUAGUUUUCUAAAUGUUUUUCACCUUUGUCUAGAGUAUAGGUCAUUUCAUGUGCUUUUAUGUCACUAAUUAGCGUCUUUCCAUUUCAGCUUGGAGAAAUUUCAGUAUUUCUUGCAAGGCAGAUCUAGUGGUGAACCCCCUCAGUUUUAGUAGGGAAAGCCUUUAUUUCUCCUUCAUAGCUGAAGCAUAUCUUUGCCAGGUAAAGUGUUUUUAUUUUUCAGCACUUUGAAUGGGUCAUUCCACUCCCUCCUGGGCUGUAGAAUUUCUGAGAAACCCAUCAUUAAGCUAAUGGAGGUUCCUCUGUAGGUUACUUUGUUUCCUGGGUGCCUUUUUUUUUUUUUUAAACAGAUUCAUUAUAGGGGCGCCUGGGUGGCUCAGUCGGUUAAGCGUCUACCUUCGGCUCAGGUCAUAAUCUCAGGGUCCUGGGAUCGAGCCCCACAUCGGGCUCCCUGCUCUGCGGGAAGCCUGCUUCUUCCUCUCCCACUCCCCCUGCUUGUGUUCCCGCACUUGCUGUGUCUCUGUCAAAUAAAUAAAUAAAAACUAAAAAAAAAAAAAAAAAAAAAACCAGAUUCAUUAUAAUGUGUCUUGGAGAUCAUCUUUUUGCAUUGAGAUAAUAGAGUAUUCUGUUAGCUUCUUGGACUUCUCCACUUCCUUCCCCAGGUUUGGGAAGUUCUGUUCUAUUUCUCUAAAUAUACUCUCUGCUCCCUUUUCCCCUUCUCCUUCUGGUAGACUAUUAUAUUUUUCUCAUCAUACGUGAUAGCUCUUACGGGGUUUCUUCUUUUUUAUUUUUUUUAAUCUAAGCUCUCCUCUCCUGGGUCAUUUCUAAAUUCCUAUCCUCCAAGCACUAAAUCCCUUCUUCAAUCUGAUCUGCCCUAUUUCCUAAGCUCUCUAUCUCAUUCACUGAAUUCGUCAGCUCCAGAACUUGUCUGGUUCUUUUUGAAAAUUUCAAACUCCUUGGUAAGAAAACACCUCCUGUUCAAUAAUUUUAUUCCUAAAUAGAUGAGCUUGUAAUAAAACUCAUGUGCUUCAAAUUUCUUUGUAGUAGCUAUUUUGAAUUAUUUGUCAGUUAAGUCACAAUAUUUUGCACCUUUGGUUCAGUUGCUGGAGAAUUUCUUUUUUUGUGAUACCAUAUUACCAUCAUUUUUUAUAGUGCUUGAUUAAAUGUACCUCUGCCAUUGCAUCGAAAUAGCACACUUCUCUCAGUUGUUUACUUUGUUAUAGUUCAACAGAUUGGCAAUUGCAGACCUUUCUUUUGUUUCCCAGAAGGUGGUGCAAUAGCUCAGGUUUUUGGCUUCUCCUCACCUGAGCUGGUUCUGGAGCUGCACUCAGGACCACAUGUAAAAGCAGUCAGUCCAGAAGCUGGCAACAGAGUGAACACUUCACACUAUAACGAGACCAAGAGGCAAGUUCGGAAAGAAUGAAGAACCGGAAGAGCUGUCAUCCCUGACUAAAGCCUCCAGCCUCCCUCCUUACAGAUGAUCUCAGUCCAGCCUCUGAGAGCUUUAUGAGCGCUAACAGAGUAUCAAUGAGCAUGAGCAAUCUUCCGUCACCUCCUGUUAAUGCUCUUACCACGCGUUCUGAGGUUCUCAGCCCUGCUGUUGAAGUCUGCUAGAGGACCCAGAUAGUCCAAGGGGUAAACAGAAACCACAUAUGUCCUCUUAGAAGUGGAUAGUAGGGAGAAGCGGUGAUAGUGGAAAUACUGGAGGAGGGAGAACACACACAGAAAGGCCCAAUUAGUCAGGACUCACUUGGGUUGUGCAUGAUGCUGAUAUCCAGGUCCCAGCUGAGAUCCUGCUCUCAUCUCCACAGCCACAGAACACUAAUAGGAACAUUACAGAAGAGGAAAAGAUCAGCUACUCUCUCUAGAGUCUAUAAACACAGUUCUGCUCAGACGGGCUCAGCCCCGGUGGAAUCCCACAUUGCUUUCUAGUGCAGCAGAGACACCUACGUUAAAAUACCAGAUCCGUGCAGUUUAUUUGACAGAGGCCCCAAAGCUGGUGAGAUGGAAGGGUCUCUAGAGAUCAUGCAGGUAAUUUUCUUGAGAAGGUUAGUGACCAGGGCCAGAGCUUGGCCUCCUAACACCAUCUGCCCUUCCCAUGCUCUUUCUAGAGGAGCCUCUCAUCAGGAGUAACAGUGAGUAACAGUUCCACAGGGCACUGUGCUUCUGUGAAGAUUCAUUCCCACCAAUUUGAUGUGAACUGUUGUUAUUCUACAGGCAUGCUCUCUGACUCGAUCCUCGGGCCCUGUCCCUCUACACUGAAAACAGGAACCUUGAGCCAGAGAGCUCCAGUAGGAGCAGACUAAACAAACAGGAGGACCUUGGCAGGUUCGCGGGGAACCAUGCCUACAGGCCCCACUGGCAAUGUCAGAUCGGACCUCAGCUGCUUCAGAGAGCAGGAGAAGCUGGAGCCGGGGGCUUAAAAUAGGUUGCCCCUAACUUUCAUGAAGCAGACAAAUAUUUAACUUUUACCCCUACCCUUGUUU